Molecule: ribosomal RNA, 654 nt
Filed under: uncultured Bacteroidales bacterium
Lineage: Bacteria; Pseudomonadati; Bacteroidota; Bacteroidia; Bacteroidales
Description: bacterial SSU rRNA
Rfam family: Bacterial small subunit ribosomal RNA
Source: RNAcentral
GGCCGAUGGCGACCGGCGCACGGGUGAGUAACACGUAUCCAACCUGCCGUCUACUCUUGGACAGCCUUCUGAAAGGAAGAUUAAUACAAGAUGGCAUCAUGAGUCCACAUGUUCACAUGAUUAAAGGUAUUCCGGUAGACGAUGGGGAUGCGUUCCAUUAGAUAGUAGGCGGGGUAACGGCCCACCUAGUCUUCGAUGGAUAGGGGUUCUGAGAGGAAGGUCCCCCACAUUGGAACUGAGACACGGUCCAAACUCCUACGGGAGGCAGCAGUGAGGAAUAUUGGUCGAUGGGCGAGAGCCUGAACCAGCCAAGUAGCGUGAAGGAUGACUGCCCUAUGGGUUGUAAACUUCUUUUAUAAAGGAAUAAAGUCGGGUAUGCAUACCCGUUUGCAUGUACUUUAUGAAUAAGGAUCGGCUAACUCCGUGCCAGCAGCCGCGGUAAUACGGAGGAUCCGAGCGUUAUCCGGAUUUAUUGGGUUUAAAGGGAGCGUAGAUGGAUGUUUAAGUCAGUUGUGAAAGUUUGCGGCUCAACCGUAAAAUUGCAGUUGAUACUGGAUGUCUUGAGUGCAGUUGAGGCAGGCGGAAUUCGUGGUGUAGCGGUGAAAUGCUUAGAUAUCACGAAGAACUCCGAUUGCGAAGGCAGCCUGCUAAGCU